ACGCACGCUGGCGGCGUGCCUAAUACAUGCAAGUUGCGCGAUGAAGAUUGGUGCUUGCACCAAUUUGAAGAGCAGCGAACGGGUGAGUAACGCGUGGGGAAUCUGCCUUUGAGCGGGGGACAACAUUUGGAAACGAAUGCUAAUACCGCAUAACAACUUUAAACAUAAGUUUUAAGUUUGAAAGAUGCAAUUGCAUCACUCAAAGAUGAUCCCGCGUUGUAUUAGCUAGUUGGUGAGGUAAAGGCUCACCAAGGCGAUGAUACAUAGCCGACCUGAGAGGGUGAUCGGCCACAUUGGGACUGAGACACGGCCCAAACUCCUACGGGAGGCAGCAGUAGGGAAUCUUCGGCAAUGGACGAAAGUCUGACCGAGCAACGCCGCGUGAGUGAAGAAGGUUUUCGGAUCGUAAAACUCUGUUGGUAGAGAAGAACGUUGGUGAGAGUGGAAAGCUCAUCAAGUGACGGUAACUACCCAGAAAGGGACGGCUAACUACGUG
RNAcentral lists this ribosomal RNA (496 nucleotides) under uncultured bacterium. RNAcentral describes it as "partial 16S ribosomal RNA". It matches the Rfam family "Bacterial small subunit ribosomal RNA", at positions 29 to 507 of the family's 1533-position model. The record is from RNAcentral.